RNAcentral lists this ribosomal RNA (521 nucleotides) under uncultured bacterium. Its description in RNAcentral is "bacterial SSU rRNA". It matches the Rfam family "Bacterial small subunit ribosomal RNA", at positions 8 to 518 of the family's 1533-position model. The record is from RNAcentral.
AGAGUUGAUCAUGGCUCAGGAUGAACGCUAGCUACAGGCUUAACACAUGCAAGUCGAGGGGCAGCAUGGUCUUAGCUUGCUAAGAUUGAUGGCGACCGGCGCACGGGUGAGUAACGCGUAUCCAACCUUCCCUAUAGUAGGGGAUAGCCCGUAGAAAUGCGGAUUAAUACCCUAUGUUGUAUUUUGAGGACAUCUGACGAAUACCAAAGGUUUACCGCUAUAGGAUGGGGAUGCGUCUGAUUAGGUAGUCGGCGGGGUAACGGCCCACCGAGCCAACGAUCAGUAGGGGUUCUGAGAGGAAGGUCCCCCACAUUGGAACUGAGACACGGUCCAAACUCCUACGGGAGGCAGCAGUGAGGAAUAUUGGUCAAUGGGCGAGAGCCUGAACCAGCCAAGUAGCGUGCCAGGAUGACGGCCCUAUGGGUUGUAAACUGCUUUUAUGCGGGGAUAAAGUGAGGGACGUGUCCCUUAUUGUAGGUACCGCAUGAAUAAGGACCGGCUAAUUCCGUGCCAGCCGCUGC